UUCUCAGUGUUUCCUUAAGGCGUAACGAUCUGGGCACUGUCUCGGAGAGAGGUGAACGGCGGCCGUAACUAUAACGGUCCUAAGGUAGCGAAAUUUCUUGUCGGGUAAGUUCCGACCCGCACGAAA
Nicotiana attenuata is the source of this 126-nucleotide ribosomal RNA. It matches the Rfam family "Bacterial large subunit ribosomal RNA", at positions 1860 to 1997 of the family's 2925-position model. NCBI's taxonomy places the organism in Eukaryota, Viridiplantae, Streptophyta, Magnoliopsida, Solanales, Solanaceae. The record is from Rfam.